AAUAUUGGACAAUCGGGGCAACUCUGAUCCAGCCAUGCCUCGUGCGUGAAGAAGGUCUUCGGAUUGUAAAGCACUUUAAGUUGGGAGGAAGGGCUUUAGGUCAAUACUUGGAAGUUUUGACGUUACCAACAGAAUAAGCACUGGAUAACUCUGUGCCAGCAGCCGCGGUAAUACAGAGGGUGCAAGCGUUAAUCGGAAUUACUGGGCGUAAAGCACGCGUAGGUGGUUCAGUAAGAUAGGUGUGAAAUCCCCGGGCUUAACCUGGGAACUGCUUUCAUAACUGCUGAGCUAGAGUACGGUAGAGGGUAGUGGAAUUUCCUGUGUAGCGGUGAAAUGCGUAGAUAUAGGAAGGAACACCAGUGGCGAAGGCGACUACCUGGACUGAUACUGACACUGAGGUGCGAAAGCGUGGGGAGCAAA
This 420-nucleotide ribosomal RNA is filed under the name uncultured bacterium. RNAcentral describes it as "partial 16S ribosomal RNA". It matches the Rfam family "Bacterial small subunit ribosomal RNA", at positions 360 to 772 of the family's 1533-position model. The record is from RNAcentral.